RNAcentral lists this ribosomal RNA (622 nucleotides) under Mycobacterium tuberculosis. Its description in RNAcentral is "bacterial SSU rRNA". It matches the Rfam family "Bacterial small subunit ribosomal RNA", at positions 318 to 938 of the family's 1533-position model. The record is from RNAcentral. Lineage: Bacteria; Bacillati; Actinomycetota; Actinomycetes; Mycobacteriales; Mycobacteriaceae.
ACUGAGAUACGGCCCAGACUCCUACGGGAGGCAGCAGUGGGGAAUAUUGCACAAUGGGCGCAAGCCUGAUGCAGCGACGCCGCGUGGGGGAUGACGGCCUUCGGGUUGUAAACCUCUUUCACCAUCGACGAAGGUCCGGGUUCUCUCGGAUUGACGGUAGGUGGAGAAGAAGCACCGGCCAACUACGUGCCAGCAGCCGCGGUAAUACGUAGGGUGCGAGCGUUGUCCGGAAUUACUGGGCGUAAAGAGCUCGUAGGUGGUUUGUCGCGUUGUUCGUGAAAUCUCACGGCUUAACUGUGAGCGUGCGGGCGAUACGGGCAGACUAGAGUACUGCAGGGGAGACUGGAAUUCCUGGUGUAGCGGUGGAAUGCGCAGAUAUCAGGAGGAACACCGGUGGCGAAGGCGGGUCUCUGGGCAGUAACUGACGCUGAGGAGCGAAAGCGUGGGGAGCGAACAGGAUUAGAUACCCUGGUAGUCCACGCCGUAAACGGUGGGUACUAGGUGUGGGUUUCCUUCCUUGGGAUCCGUGCCGUAGCUAACGCAUUAAGUACCCCGCCUGGGGAGUACGGCCGCAAGGCUAAAACUCAAAGGAAUUGACGGGGGCCCGCACAAGCGGCGGAGC